GAUGAACGCUGGCGGCGUGCUUAACACAUGCAAGUCGAACGGAAAGGCUCCUGCUUGCAGGGGUACUCGAGUGGCGAACGGGUGAGUAACACGUGGGUGAUCUGCCCUGCACUUCGGGAUAAGCCUGGGAAACUGGGUCUAAUACCGGAUAGGACGAUGGUUUGGAUGCCAUUGUGGAAAGUUUUUCGGUGUGGGAUGAGCUCGCGGCCUAUCAGCUUGUUGGUGGGGUAAUGGCCUGCCAAGGCGUCGACGGGUAGCCGGCCUGAGAGGGUGUACGGCCACAUUGGGACUGAGAUACGGCCCAGACUCCUACGGGAUGCAGCAGUGGGGAAUAUUGCACAAUGGGCGCAAGCCUGAUGCAGCGACGCCGCGUGGGGGAUGACGGCCUUCGGGUUGUAAACUCCUUUCGCUAGGGACGAAGCGCAAGUGACGGUACCUGGAGAAGAAGCACCGGCUAACUACGUG
Molecule: ribosomal RNA, 465 nt
Filed under: uncultured bacterium
Lineage: Bacteria
Description: partial 16S ribosomal RNA
Rfam family: Bacterial small subunit ribosomal RNA
Source: RNAcentral